AAGACUACACUUUCAGGGACCAUUUCUAUAGUUCCUUAGUAGAGAAGUUUCUCUGAUCAUGUAGAGUACUGGAAACCAAGAGGAGGAGACACAGCGCUCUCUCCUGAGGGUGAAACCUGCUCUUGGUGUUGCUUUGCUGCAACUUCCAUCUGCCGUUGAUGAUCGUUUUACUCAUCUUUAGGGGAGUAAGAGGGAGAGAACGCAGAUCAGUGGU
RNAcentral lists this small nucleolar RNA (214 nucleotides) under Castor canadensis (American beaver). RNAcentral describes it as "Small nucleolar RNA U3 (ENSCCNG00000015874.1)". It matches the Rfam family "Small nucleolar RNA U3". Rfam says of the family: Small nucleolar RNAs (snoRNAs) are involved in the processing and modification of rRNA in the nucleolus. Lineage: Eukaryota; Metazoa; Chordata; Mammalia; Rodentia; Castoridae. The record is from Rfam by way of RNAcentral.